This 460-nucleotide ribosomal RNA is filed under the name uncultured bacterium. RNAcentral's name for it is "partial 16S ribosomal RNA". It matches the Rfam family "Bacterial small subunit ribosomal RNA", at positions 338 to 795 of the family's 1533-position model. The record is from RNAcentral.
CCUACGGGCGGCAGCAGUGAGGAAUAUUGGUCAAUGGGCUUACGCCUGAACCAGCCAAGUCGCGUGAGGGAAGACUGCCCUAUGGGUUGUAAACCUCUUUUGUCAGGGAGCAACGCCGGCUACGUGUAGCCGGACUGAGAGUACCUGAAGAAAAAGCAUCGGCUAACUCCGUGCCAGCAGCCGCGGUAAUACGGAGGAUGCGAGCGUUAUCCGGAUUUAUUGGGUUUAAAGGGUGCGUAGGCGGAAUGCCAAGUCAGCGGUAAAAUCGCGGGGCUCAACCUCGCUCCGCCGUUGAAACUGGCGGUCUUGAGUGGGCGAGAAGUAUGCGGAAUGCGUGGUGUAGCGGUGAAAUGCAUAGAUAUCACGCAGAACUCCGAUUGCGAAGGCAGCAUACCGGCGCCCAACUGACGCUGAAGCACGAAAGCGUGGGUAUCGAACAGGAUUAGAUACCAUAGUAGUC